UACGAAGGGGGCUAGCGUUGCUCGGAAUCACUGGGCGUAAAGGGUGCGUAGGCGGCCACACAGGUCAGCUGUGAAAACUCGAGGCUCAACCUCGAGACGUCGGUUGAAACCGUAUGGCUAGAGUCCGGAAGAGGAGAGUGGAAUUCCUGGUGUAGCGGUGAAAUGCGCAGAUAUCAGGAGGAACACCGGUGGCGAAGGCGGGUCUCUGGGCCGAUACUGACACUGAGGAGCGAAAGCGUGGGGAGCGAACAGG
RNAcentral lists this ribosomal RNA (253 nucleotides) under uncultured bacterium. Its description in RNAcentral is "partial 16S ribosomal RNA". It matches the Rfam family "Bacterial small subunit ribosomal RNA", at positions 524 to 776 of the family's 1533-position model. The record is from RNAcentral.